ACGAACCGUCCGAACGUUAUUCGGAAUCACUGGGCUUAAAGGGUGCGUAGGCGGCGCGGAAAGUUGGGUGUGAAAUCCCUCGGCUCAACCGAGGAACUGCGCCCAAAACUACCGUGCUCGAGGGAGAUAGAGGUGAGCGGAACUUAGGGUGGAGCGGUGAAAUGCGUUGAUAUCCUAAGGAACACCGGUGGCGAAAGCGGCUCACUGGAUCUCUUCUGACGCUGAGGCACGAAAGCUAGGGUAGCGAACGGG
Molecule: ribosomal RNA, 252 nt
Filed under: uncultured bacterium
Lineage: Bacteria
Description: partial 16S ribosomal RNA
Rfam family: Bacterial small subunit ribosomal RNA
Source: RNAcentral